This 384-nucleotide long non-coding RNA is filed under the name Oryza brachyantha (malo sina). RNAcentral describes it as "long non-coding RNA (OBRA_LNC003274)". Lineage: Eukaryota; Viridiplantae; Streptophyta; Magnoliopsida; Poales; Poaceae. The record is from RNAcentral.
AGCAUAUAUUGCAUACGUGAGGAGUCCCGUAGAGGUAUUCGGCCAAAUGCUGUUCCUACUCCUAGACACAAAUAUUUUACAAAUAGAAGUGGAAGGCAUCAGGAAAACUACUACUACUUCUGUGCAGGAAUCGUCUAGAUGGAUUAAGGUGAUUUGGACUAUGGCUGGGAAUCAGAUUUAGGUCAUGUGUUCCUACUGUAGUGAUCAUGAUAUUAAUAGGUCAUUGAACCAUUAAGCAAACAAUAAACGCUCCAGAUUUAUUUGUCAUUCUUUUUUUUCACUUUUCACCAGCCCAUGUCUUCAGCAGCUGCAUUUUGGAGGGAAAAGGCUGAGAGAGGGUGAAAUUUGGUGCCAUUUUUACCAUGAAAAGAAUACUUCACCCCU